GCCCAGUCGAUCGAGGUUCGGCCCGGAGAUGAC
Molecule: unclassified non-coding RNA, 33 nt
Filed under: Sorangium cellulosum So ce56
Lineage: Bacteria; Pseudomonadati; Myxococcota; Polyangiales; Polyangiaceae
Description: sce_Cardiovirus_CRE_1
Source: RNAcentral